RNAcentral lists this unclassified non-coding RNA (497 nucleotides) under Hevea brasiliensis (rubber tree). The record is from RNAcentral. Lineage: Eukaryota; Viridiplantae; Streptophyta; Magnoliopsida; Malpighiales; Euphorbiaceae.
AAAAAACAAAUUAAAAUAAAUGGUGCCCCCUCCCAUAGGAAGCCUCAAGAUCAACUGUGAUAUACCUUGGAAAGAGGGUUCUCCUCUUUCUGGCAUAACCGUGAUUGGUGAGGAAGAGCAUAAAUGCUUGUCCCCUUUAACAGGUGAGGCAGAGGCUCUUUUAGAAGCGAUUUUACUUGUAAAAGCAAGAGGUUUCAUAUCAAUUAUAUUAGAAUCAGAUUCUCAAACGUUUAUUAAGUCAGUUAAGGGUGCAUCAGCAAAUGCUCCUUGGGAGAUUCGUGCUACGGUCUAGGCUAUUAAAGCUCACCUUCCCAACUCCAAUUGGGUAGUGUUUUCUUAGUGCUGCCCACUGCUUGGUUAGCAUCAGUAUGGCAAAUCAACUUCAUUGUAACAGUAGGAUUAUUGACCUUCCUGAUCAGUUAAGGUCGAUUUGUAAUUUUGAUGUCCAUGGGCCGUGUAAUGCAAUUCGCAACUUGCGGUUAAAAAAAAAAAACAAU